CCUACGGGAGGCAGCAGUGAGGAAUAUUGGUCAAUGGACGAGAGUCUGAACCAGCCAAGUAGCGUGAAGGAUGACUGCCCUAUGGGUUGUAAACUUCUUUUAUAAAGGAAUAAAACGAGGCACGUGUGCCUUUUUGCAUGUACUUUAUGAAUAAGGAUCGGCUAACUCCGUGCCAGCAGCCGCGGUAAUACGGAGGAUCCGAGCGUUAUCCGGAUUUAUUGGGUUUAAAGGGAGCGUAGAUGGGUUGUUAAGUCAGUUGUGAAAGUUUGCGGCUCAACCGGAAAAUUGCAAUUGAUACUGGCAGUCGUGAGUACAGUUGAGGUAGGCGGAAUUCGUGGUGUAGCGGUGAAAUGCUUAGAGAUCACGAAGAACCCCGAUGGCGAAGGCAGCUUACUAAACUGUGACUGACAUUGAUGCUCGAAAGUGUGGGUAUCAAACAGGAUUAGAUACCCUAGUAGUC
RNAcentral lists this ribosomal RNA (460 nucleotides) under uncultured bacterium. RNAcentral's name for it is "partial 16S ribosomal RNA". It matches the Rfam family "Bacterial small subunit ribosomal RNA", at positions 338 to 795 of the family's 1533-position model. The record is from RNAcentral.